AAAAACAAAAACCAUCAAACAGAUCACCAUCUCCUUUUAGUUAAUCUCAUACUUCCUAUUUAGGAAAUAUUUUUCAUCAGUUAUAUAUAGAAAAUAAUGUUGAUAUACCGAUAUCACAAGUAUUUAAAAUAAUCUUUAAAAACAUGUUUGUCUUAAAUUGUGAUUUUUUUUUUCCUAGCAUUUAUUAUUUUUCAAGUCUUUUUCUGCAAAUGUAUUUUAGAAAUAGGAUCUUUCUUCAGCUACGCAGUGUCGGGCUUGCAGAGGAGAUAUCAAAUAUACUGAAAACAUCAAGAAAUGAACAAAUAUAGCAUUGAUGUUGUUGCUAACGCCUUGUGCUGUUAAUCCAAGCUAGGUUGUGGAAUUUGUCUUUAAGGCAACUGUAUAAGAGAUGACUAUUGUAACCAUCUCUAAUAAAGGUGCGACAGUUCAUGCAAGUUUGGGACAUGGUGUCAGGAAUUGCAUGGCAGAGACAAACUAAGUCUAGUUAUCAUCUUUUCAGAUGAAUUCUGUGUUGUUUAAAUAAGCACUAACCUUUUUAUAGGCUACCUGCUCCAUAUUGUUUCUCUGUCUCUUCUGGAACUGCAGAGGCUUUCACUGAUAAUCCCCCUUACUGCUAAAUAUGUUCUUGCAUUUUCUCUAACUGUGACUUCUUUGUUGCCACCUCCUCCUGGUGCCUCCACUCUUUUAGUUUGUUUCUGUAACCUAAAACAAAAAUGAUUAUUAAUUGCUAUAGCAACCUUGAAUUUGCUUGAACAAUCUUGGCAGGAGAAGAGGUACUUAGCCUGAAGAGCUAAACAGAUUGCCUAAAUGAAGGAAAGAGGAAUGGGAAUAAAGAGAAAACAAGUGCUGGUUAGUGAUACUUCACAUAUGCCUGGUUGGUUCUGCAAAUUAGUAUUUAAAAAAUAAUGAAAAGUCUACUUUCCCUCCUAACAUCUCUAAGGGGAUUAAAACCUGAAUUACAAGUUUGAGAUGUGCUUUUGGGAGGAUACAAGACUAAGAGGAAGUUAGGGAUACAAGUUAAGUGGUUACUCUGACCGGGAGUCAAGGGAUGGAGGACAGCACAGGAGACAGGAGACACUCAGAGAACGAGAGCUGGGAGAAAUAUUUAAAGUGCAUUUUCUUGGUAGAAUGCAAAUAGAAACAUGAAACAAGAGUCUAGGAGAUGUGACAAACAAGGAGGCAAUGAAAAAUACUGAAUGAAGUUUUAGAUGUAAAUGGAAUGGUGACCUAAAUAGGCUAUUUUUUUGGAGGAAGAUUCAUAAUGAGAAGAAGAGUUAUGAAAGAAAGUCAAAGAGGCUAAUAUUCUCCUUAUUCUGAAAUGAUGUGGGUAAUGUGCAUCACUGAAUGACACUUAAGGUCAUGGUCCAAACUAACUUGCGGUUCUUAGUCCUGCAGUUUCACUUGAAUGCCUGCUUUCUUUUCCACAAAUGGAGUCGAAUAGGGCAUGGUACUAAUCUCAGAAAGUAAAACCUUAAGUCAGACAUGUUCAUUUUCAAGCAUCUGACAUAAUAAAAAAAGAUAAAAAGUAAAAGAUGUUACUCCUAAAAACCUGCUUCUCCUACAAAUACCCUCCCUUGAGCGUUAUUUCUAGGCUGCAGCUCUGCGAAGUCACCCAAGGAGGUCGCUGUUUUCCCCAGUAAAUACUAUUCUUAAAAAAAAAAAAUACAGCAUAGAAACGGCAGUGAGAUGGUGUCAGAAGAGAAUAUGCUGUACUGUAUAAUUAGAACGUUUCAAAAGGUAAACAGAAUGCGAUGAUUAGGAUGCACCAGGGCUUGUUUCUCAGAGCUUUGCCUUUAUUUUUUCCCUAAAUCUCCACAGCAGCAAAGGUAAAGAACAAAAUAUACUCUAGCCGUUGUUUUUGUUUUGUUUUUUUUUUUAUUUUAUUUGUAGUAUAAAAACUCUCACUUCAUUAAGAACUUGGAUUACUGUGAGCUGUCUUUGUGUAGUUGCAACCAUGCCAAGUUUUCUGUCAAGAAAGCAUUCAGUAGUAGUUUUGGUGCUGUCUAUAAAGUGUUUGGUCUUCAUGAAAGUACCGUAGGCUAGAUGGAAUUGGCUGAAAAACUUGAAUUUGUGUAAUGACCAAUAAGCAGUUCACUGUCAGUUUUUCAUUAAUGACUGGGAAAAAAAGGUAAUCUUAGGACUCAAAAUUCAGAAUAAUGGUAAAUGGAUGGAAGUAUUGAGGUGUAUUUAGGACAAGCAAUGCUAAGCUUAGGAAAAAUCUGCUUCUAAAAGAUGCAGCUUUAUGUAUGCACACACUUCAGGUGAAAAUGUUUGUUCUCCACCUUGGAAUUUGCCUGGGGGUACAAGGUGAGUCUGCUGCACAAGGUUAUGAACUGUCAGCAAUACAGAACUGAGGACGUGGGAUCUGUGGAAAGAGCUUGCAUCAGCAGCAAGAAAUAAGAAAUAAGGCUGGGGUCCCCAUAGUCCUCCCACCACAGCCCUGGGUGUUGAGACUCCUCAGAGCAAAGGAAACUGUUCUAGAAUUUGCAGCGAUUUAAGAUGCUGCUCUCUAAGCACGUCUGAUAUCUGGGGUUGUUUUUGCUUGUUUUUUUUCAACCUCAGUCUGCUCUCACUUUAUGAAAAGGGAUAGAGGAGCACUUUGAAAGUUGGUGUAAGAUAUUUGUGUCUGGGAAUUGGAGCUUUUGCUGGGCAUUCUGUAAUGCAAAACGGGACUAGCUGCCAAGUGCCGCAGAGCAGCUUGAGCCUUUCCGUGCCUGCCUCAGCACCCAGCUUCUCUCUGCUUUGCCUCACUGCAUCUCUCAGCUUACGGAGGAGCACCUGCUUCCCGCCAAAAUGAGGGGGCUUCUGAGGAGCUCCGCGUUGUGGCCGGAGCAGAGCUUUGUGCCUGCCUGGCUGGAGGAGGCGGCCAGCUGGGUGAGAUGAGGCAGCUGAGGAUGCGGGCUCCUCGUAGCUGGGGCCCGAUUGGCCUCACGUGCUGCCCCUCGUGCGGUACUCACUGCCCUCACCUGCUGCAACACGCGGGCAGAAGUUGCUCCUGUUUUUGUCGGUCUGCUAAAAAGCCGCCACGAGCGAUGGCUUCUCCCCGUGCAUGAUUGAUACUCGGGCAAAUAACUAACUAGGAGAAUUAAGAGAAGGGCUGGAGCCACUUACGCAGCACGGCUGAGAUGAGUUUGAGUCCUGAAGGAGCUGAGUGACCUCUUCCUACAGAGAAACUGCCAUCUCACCUUCUGUGCAGCACUGGACAUCUGGCUGUAGGCUGAUGUGACUGAGAUCUGCAGGCAAACAUACCGAGAGGCCUUCUACACUGUGGGAGGGGAUUAAAAAGGCAGCAGCGCACUGGACCCCAACUCGGGGCUUUCGAGAUGGCUGGCAUUGCUACAGGAUGUAAAAAGGCUGAAACGGAGACUGGCAGGGGGAGUGCUCUAUAACAUUGCCAGCAACAUCUCACUUGCUCAACAGUUAGUGGCUCUGUGGGAUCAAAGCAGUUACAGGCAGCCAAUACUGGCUAUGUGGGAACAGUGGGAUUUUCAGUUGAGCUGCAGAAUGGGAAUGGCUUUUAGGAACUGGAAACCCAGCAAUGAAAAUGUCUCGGACAAGUCAUCGUCCUUCAAGAAAUGCCCCAGUUUUCAAACAUUACUGCUUCAAAAUGGAGCAGGCAAGCUGCUGUGUUCAAAAAAAGUUUUGGUUACAGCCCCUUGUUAGUUUAAUUUUAGUUCUUAUGAAUUGACAUAUGGCAGGCAUGAUUUUUAAUUAGAGCUUUAGCUGUGUUUUACUGGUAGGACUGCAGAGCACUGUGGAAUUUACAUUAGGAAAAAAAUGCUCUGUCGGUAGAGUACAAGGCUGUUUAGUAAUCAGAGUGGAAAGUUAACUUUGAAACAAAUUGGCAGCUGAUCAGAUAAAAUUCAAAUCGGUAACAUUUGUGUUGGAAACCAGCUCAGAUCUGGGAAAAAUGGAAUCUAAGCUAUUCUGUUCCUCUUGCAUAGAAACUGACUGGUGAACACACUGUGCACAUCAAACUUCAUGUGUAACACCCCCUAGAAAAACAAAAUUAGUACAUUUAUAGUGUUAUCUGAGCACUUAAUCUGAUUCUUUUUCACAUUAGUGUAAAAAUGUUACUUUGAAGAGAAGUUCUCUUGCAUACUUUAU
Lagopus muta (rock ptarmigan) is the source of this 4107-nucleotide long non-coding RNA. RefSeq lists it as uncharacterized. Lineage: Eukaryota; Metazoa; Chordata; Aves; Galliformes; Phasianidae. The record is from RefSeq and is a predicted model, not a curated record. The transcript is spliced from 3 exons.